Molecule: ribosomal RNA, 169 nt
Filed under: Pantoea piersonii
Lineage: Bacteria; Pseudomonadati; Pseudomonadota; Gammaproteobacteria; Enterobacterales; Erwiniaceae
Description: partial 16S ribosomal RNA
Rfam family: Bacterial small subunit ribosomal RNA
Source: RNAcentral
AAAUUGAAGAGUUUGAUCAUGGCUCAGAUUGAACGCUGGCGGCAGGCCUAACACAUGCAAGUCGAACGGCAGCACAGAAGAGCUUGCUCUUUGGGUGGCGAGUGGCGGACGGGUGAGUAAUGUCUGGGGAUCUGCCCGGUAGAGGGGGAUAACCACUGGAAACGGUGGC